UUGUGUGAAUACAUAGCACAUUCGAGGUAGACGCAGAGAACUGAAACAUCUAAGUACCUGCAGGAAGAGAAAGAAAAUUCGAUUCCCUGAGUAGCGGCGAGCGAAACGGGAAAAGCCCAAACCAGCAAGCUUGCUUGUUGGGGUUGUAGGACUCCAAUAUGGUAGUUCUUUCAGAUAGUCGAAUGACUUGGAAAAGUCAGUCAAAGAGGGUAAAAACCCCGUAGACGAAAUGUGGAAGACACCUAGGAGGAUCCUGAGUACGGCGGAACACGAGAAAUUCCGUCGGAAUCCGGGAGGACCAUCUCCCAAGGCUAAAUACUCCCUAGUGACCGAUAGUGAACCAGUACCGUGAGGGAAAGGUGAAAAGCACCCCGGAAGGGGAGUGAAAUAGAACCUGAAACCGUGUGCCUACAACAAGUCAAAGCCCGUUAAUGGGUGAUGGCGUGCCUUUUGUAGAAUGAACCGGCGAGUUACGAUUGCAUGCGAGGUUAAGUUGAAGAGACGGAGCCGCAGCGAAAGCGAGUCUGAAUAGGGCGUUUGAGUAUGUAGUCGUAGACCCGAAACCAUGUGAUCUACCCAUGUCCAGGUUGAAGGUGCGGUAAAACGCACUGGAGGACCGAACCCACGUACGUUGAAAAGUGCGGGGAUGAGGUGUGGGUAGCGGAGAAAUUCCAAACGAACUUGGAGAUAGCUGGUUCUCUCCGAAAUAGCUUUAGGGCUAGCCUCGGAAUUGAGAAUGAUGGAGGUAGAGCACUGUUUGGACUAGGGGCCCAUCUCGGGUUACCGAAUUCAGAUAAACUCCGAAUGCCAUUCAUUCAUAUCCGGGAGUCAGACUGUGAGUGAUAAGAUCCAUAGUCGAAAGGGAAACAGCCCAGACCACCAGCUAAGGUCCCAAAAUAUAUGUUAAGUGGAAAAGGAUGUGGGGUUGCACAGACAACUAGGAUGUUGGCUUAGAAGCAGCCACCAUU
RNAcentral lists this ribosomal RNA (968 nucleotides) under Enterococcus faecium. RNAcentral's name for it is "partial 23S ribosomal RNA". It matches the Rfam family "Bacterial large subunit ribosomal RNA", at positions 154 to 1123 of the family's 2925-position model. Lineage: Bacteria; Bacillati; Bacillota; Bacilli; Lactobacillales; Enterococcaceae. The record is from RNAcentral.